Molecule: ribosomal RNA, 541 nt
Filed under: uncultured Bacteroidota bacterium
Lineage: Bacteria; Pseudomonadati; Bacteroidota
Description: bacterial SSU rRNA
Rfam family: Bacterial small subunit ribosomal RNA
Source: RNAcentral
UGAGGAAUAUUGGUCAAUGGGCGCAAGCCUGAACCAGCCAUGCCGCGUGCAGGAAGAAUGCCCUAUGGGUUGUAAACUGCUUUUAUUUGGGAAUAAACCUUUCUACGUGUAGGAAGCUGAAGGUACCAAAUGAAUAAGCACCGGCUAACUCCGUGCCAGCAGCCGCGGUAAUACGGAGGGUGCAAGCGUUAUCCGGAAUCAUUGGGUUUAAAGGGUCCGCAGGCGGAUUUAUAAGUCAGUGGUGAAAGCCUACAGCUUAACUGUAGAACUGCCAUUGAUACUGUAAGUCUUGAAUUCGGUCGAAGUGGGCGGAAUGUGUAGUGUAGCGGUGAAAUGCAUAGAUAUUACACAGAACACCGAUAGCGAAGGCAGCUCACUAGGCCUGGAUUGACGCUCAGGGACGAAAGCGUGGGGAUCAAACAGGAUUAGAUACCCUGGUAGUCCACGCUGUAAACGAUGAUUACUCGUUUUCGGCGAUAUACGGUCGGAGACUAAGCGAAAGUGAUAAGUAAUCCACCUGGGGAGUACGAUCGCAAGGUUG